GACGAACGCUGGCGGCGUGCUUAACACAUGCAAGACGAACGGAAAGGCCCUGCUUUUGUGGGGUGCUCGAGUGGCGAACGGGUGAGUAACACGUGAGUAACCUGCCCUUGACUUUGGGAUAACUUCAGGAAACUGGGGCUAAUACCGGAUAGGAGCUCCUGCUGCAUGGUGGGGGUUGGAAAGUUUCGGCGGUUGGGGAUGGACUCGCGGCUUAUCAGCUUGCUGGUGGGGUAGUGGCUUACCAAGGCUUUGACGGGUAGCCGGCCUGAGAGGGUGACCGGCCACAUUGGGACUGAGAUACGGCCCAGACUCCUACGGGAGGCAGCAGUGGGGAAUAUUGCACAAUGGGCGGAAGCCUGAUGCAGCAACGCCGCGUGCGGGAUGACGGCCUUCGGGUUGUAAACCGCUUUCGCCUGUGACGAAGCGUGAGUGACGGUAAUGGGUAAAGAAGCACCGGCUAACUACGUG
RNAcentral lists this ribosomal RNA (468 nucleotides) under uncultured bacterium. RNAcentral's name for it is "partial 16S ribosomal RNA". It matches the Rfam family "Bacterial small subunit ribosomal RNA", at positions 28 to 507 of the family's 1533-position model. The record is from RNAcentral.